RNAcentral lists this long non-coding RNA (1806 nucleotides) under Pan troglodytes (chimpanzee). RNAcentral's name for it is "long non-coding RNA NONPTRT005434". The record is from RNAcentral. Lineage: Eukaryota; Metazoa; Chordata; Mammalia; Primates; Hominidae.
AGGGUGGGGAGCAUUUAUUUUAAUUUUUGUCUUGCAGCUCUUUGUAGAGGACCUAGCCUUUCUCUACUGAACUGAAGGGGUUUGGUCCCAUCACCCGAAGACUGGCCCACCUGCCCACACAGGUGGGGGCACAGGAGGUCUGGGAGGCCCCAGGAGGUGGAAGUUCAGAGGCCUGCCUGGCCCUGUCCAUCCCACUGGCUGAGGCCAGGCCGGAGGGCCGACCCCAGGGGCCCUCUGUAUGCAAGCCGACGCAGACAAGGGCCCAGUGCAUAGUUAAGACACAAACACCACACAGCUGUCCAGAGCCUCCAAAGCACUGUUUAUCCAGGCUCCAUGGAACCAAGUGCCCCCAGCUGCCUGCCCUAGUCCUCAGGGGGGCACUGGCACUGCAGUGGCCUCGGCCUGAGACCCUCGAUGAGCCCCAGCCUAGCCUGCUCCAAAGCCACUGACACAUGCAUGUUUAGCCCUUGGCCCAUCAAGAUGGGGCCCUGGGAAUGAACUGGCUGCAGACCCUCCUCCAUCCCACACCCCCAGGGGCUCCAUCAGUCCUGGCUAGCUCAGCACCAUGUUAAAUAGCUUCCUUGCAAUCUCCCUUAAAUAAACCCAUCCCCAGAGCAACCUACCCACCCUGCACCCUGAAUAUAUUAUCCUAUUGGCUUAUGCCUUCUAGACUGGAGGCACUCUCUCCUCUUGCCCUCUACUCCAGGGGAUACCAUCUCCCUAAAAAACCAGGGGAGGAAGUUUUUUUCUCAACUCUGGGGCAGAGACAAAGGGUGGCCUGGGUUGGAGUGGAAAAGCCAGGAAUAGCUUCCUCUGUCCCUUCCCUCCCCAGGGUACUUCCUUCUCCUUGCCCUCUUAGCAGCCUGGGUCAGGCGCGACUUACCCAAGGUCACAGACCCAGGACCCAGAGUCAUGACCCAUGUAGGAGGUUACCCUGGUUUUGACAGCCCAAACCAGCUCCAAGGCAGGAGGACUGAACUUAAGCCUGCCUCCACCUUGGCCCCUGCAGUUCUUCAGGCUCGGAGUGAGCUGAGGGAGGUUCUAGCUCUUGACUCCACUCUGUCCGGGACCCCUGGGAUUAUCUCCCAGGACCCUCCACCCCUGGUGUCUCCAGGUCUCUCUUGCUCUGGGGAUACUCAGACAGCACCGGGCAUGGAAGCAAUGGGGCCCAGGACAUGGGCAAGCCUGUCCCUGGCCCGAUCAGCAUCUGGGCCCAGGCCAGGCCUCACACCCAGUACUGGCCAUUCUUAAGGGCAGGGUUGGCUGUCCGGCAGAACUGCAGCAGCUCUGGGUCAGGCUGGCCUCCUGGAGGGGACCCCUGGCCAGGCACAGCUGUGAGCGGGAUGGCCUGGCCUGGCUCCACCUUGCGAAAGGUCUCGGUGUCACCAGCCAGGCCGUUGCGGGGCUUGGCAGUCAGGACCUGGACGUCAUGCUUGCCCGUCUUGUUGCGUUUUCGGAGGUAGAAGAGCAGGGGCAGGAUGAGCGCCAGGAGCAGAAGUACCAGGCACAUGGGGAUGAUGACGCUGAACAUGUUGGCCUCAAGGAAGCUCAGGAAGCCUCCCUUGGCCACAGCAGGCUCAGGGCUGGAUGCCAUGGGGCCUGGCUCGCCUGUGGGGGUGCUGCUCUCUGGCUUCCCUGCUUCCGUCCGGGCAGCCUCGGGGACACUGAGCAGGGCCACGCUGUAGGGCCGGGCAGCAUUGUAAGGCUCAGUGGCAAAGUCCAGGGAGGCCACAGCAGGCGGGACGCCCUGUGCCCACAGCUCCAGAGUGAGACUGUCGCCUGCGGGGCCAGGGGCCCUCCCCUCUG